GCUGAGCUCGGUAACGUGGGCUUGUCACCAAGUGGAGCAUUAAGGUAUUUGAAUAAUUUGGUAUUGAGCUCAAGGUUGACAUUAUGAGCUAGCUUUGAUUUGCCCGUUUCCAAGUUGGGCAGUGGAUGCUAUGUUUCAGGCUAACGCUUGAAUCAUAUCCUCCCUAAACUUGAGGGUAAUGCGUGAGGCUGGUUUCACAGAGCAACGAUUACCUCUCACUCUCAAAGGUGGAAGGAUUAUAAGUCAUUUGCUCAUAUUGUCAAUUAGCCUUGGAAUCCACCAAAUUCAACAAAUAUUUUU
This 300-nucleotide signal recognition particle RNA is filed under the name Zostera marina. RNAcentral describes it as "Plant signal recognition particle RNA". It matches the Rfam family "Plant signal recognition particle RNA". The record is from Rfam by way of RNAcentral. Lineage: Eukaryota; Viridiplantae; Streptophyta; Magnoliopsida; Alismatales; Zosteraceae.